GUGCCUAAUACAUGCAAGUCGAGCGAACGGACGAGAAGCUUGCUUCUCUGAUGUUAGCGGCGGACGGGUGAGUAACACGUGGAUAACCUACCUAUAAGACUGGGAUAACUACGGGAAACCGGAGCUAAUACCGGAUAAUAUUUUGAACCGCAUGGUUCAAAAGUGAAAGACGGUCUUGCUGUCACUUAUAGAUGGAUCCGCGCUGCAUUAGCUAGUUGGUAAGGUAACGGCUUACCAAGGCAACGAUGCAUAGCCGACCUGAGAGGGUGAUCGGCCACACUGGAACUGAGACACGGUCCAGACUCCUACGGGAGGCAGCAGUAGGGAAUCUUCCGCAAUGGGCGAAAGCCUGACGGAGCAACGCCGCGUGAGUGAUGAAGGUCUUCGGAUCGUAAAACUCUGUUAUUAGGGAAGAACAUAUGUGUAAGUAACUGUGCACAUCUUGACGGUACCUAAUCAGAAAGCCACGGCUAACUACGUGCCAGCAGCCGCGGUAAUACGUAGGUGGCAAGCGUUAUCCGGAAUUAUUGGGCGUAAAGCGCGCGUAGGCGGUUUUUUAAGUCUGAUGUG
This 570-nucleotide ribosomal RNA is filed under the name uncultured Staphylococcus sp. Its description in RNAcentral is "bacterial SSU rRNA". It matches the Rfam family "Bacterial small subunit ribosomal RNA", at positions 44 to 596 of the family's 1533-position model. The record is from RNAcentral. Lineage: Bacteria; Bacillati; Bacillota; Bacilli; Caryophanales; Staphylococcaceae.